UACGAAGGUCCCAAGCGUUGUUCGGAAUCACUGGGCGUAAAGGGAGCGUAGGCGGCGUGGUAAGUCAGAUGUGAAAUCCCGGGGCUCAACCCCGGAACUGCAUCCGAUACUGCCAUGCUAGAGGAUUGGAGAGGUAGCUGGAAUUCUUGGUGUAGCAGUGAAAUGCGUAGAUAUCGAGAGGAACACCUGCGGCGAAGGCGGGUUGCUGGGCUGACACUGACGCUGAGGCGCGAAAGCUAGGGGAGCGAACGGG
Molecule: ribosomal RNA, 253 nt
Filed under: uncultured bacterium
Lineage: Bacteria
Description: partial 16S ribosomal RNA
Rfam family: Bacterial small subunit ribosomal RNA
Source: RNAcentral